ACUACGGUGCUGAAGUAACAAAUGCCCUGCUUCCAGGAAAAGCCUCUAAGCAUCAGGUAACAUCAAAUCGUACCCCAAACCGACACAGGUGGUCAGGUAGAGAAUACCAAGGCGCUUGAGAGAACUCGGGUGAAGGAACUAGGCAAAAUGGUGCCGUAACUUCGGGAGAAGGCACGCUGGUGUGUAGGUGAAGUCCCUGCGGAUGGAGCUGAGACCAGUCGAAGAUACCAGCUGGCUGCAACUGUUUAUUAAAAACACAGCACUGUGCAAACACGAAAGUGGACGUAUACGGUGUGACGCCUGCCCGGUGCCGGAAGGUUAAUUGAUGGGGUUAUCCGUAAGGAGAAGCUCUUGAUCGAAGCCCCGGUAAACGGCGGCCGUAACUAUAACGGUCCUAAGGUAGCGAAAUUCCUUGUCGGGUAAGUUCCGACCUGCACGAAUGGCGUAAUGAUGGCCAGGCUGUCUCCACCCGAGACUCAGUGAAAUUGAACUCGCUGUGAAGAUGCAGUGUACCCGCGGCAAGACGGAAAGACCCCGUGAACCUUUACUAUAGCUUGACACUGAACAUUGAGCCUUGAUGUGUAGGAUAGGUGGGAGGCUUUGAAGCGUGGACGCCAGUCUGCGUGGAGCCAACCUUGAAAUACCACCCUUUAAUGUUUGAUGUUCUAACGUUGGCCCCUGACCGGGGUUGCGGACAGUGUCUGGUGGGUAGUUUGACUGGGGCGGUCUCCUCCCAAAGCGUAACGGAGGAGCACGAAGGUUAGCUAAUCCUGGUCGGACAUCAGGAGGUUAGUGCAAUGGCAUAAGCUAGCUUGACUGCGAGCGUGACGGCGCGAGCAGGUGCGAAAGCAGGUCAUAGUGAUCCGGUGGUUCUGAAUGGAAGGGCCAUCGCUCAACGGAUAAAAGGUACUCCGGGGAUAACAGGCUGAUACCGCCCAAGAGUUCAUAUCGACGGCGGUGUUUGGCACCUCGAUGUCGGCUCAUCACAUCCUGGGGCUGAAGUAGGUCCCAAGGGUAUGGCUGUUCGCCAUUUAAAGUGGUACGCGAGCUGGGUUUAGAACGUCGUGAGACAGUUCGGUCCCUAUCUGCCGUGGGCGCUGGAGAAUUGAGGGGGGCUGCUCCUAGUACGAGAGGACCGGAGUGGACGCAUCACUGGUGUUCGGGUUGUCAUGCCAAUGGCACUGCCCGGUAGCUAAAUGCGGAAGAGAUAAGUGCUGAAAGCAUCUAAGCACGAAACUUGCCCCGAGAUGAGUUCUCCCUGAGACUUUAAGUCUCCUGAAGGAACGUUAAAGACGAUGACGUUGAUAGGCCGGGUGUGUAAGCGCAGCGAUGCGUUGAGCUAACCGGUACUAAUGAACCGUGAGGCUUAACC
This 1372-nucleotide ribosomal RNA is filed under the name Klebsiella pneumoniae. Its description in RNAcentral is "bacterial LSU rRNA". It matches the Rfam family "Bacterial large subunit ribosomal RNA", at positions 1576 to 2925 of the family's 2925-position model. The record is from RNAcentral. Lineage: Bacteria; Pseudomonadati; Pseudomonadota; Gammaproteobacteria; Enterobacterales; Enterobacteriaceae.